This 423-nucleotide ribosomal RNA is filed under the name Verrucomicrobiota bacterium. Its description in RNAcentral is "Verrucomicrobia bacterium partial 16S ribosomal RNA". It matches the Rfam family "Bacterial small subunit ribosomal RNA", at positions 355 to 776 of the family's 1533-position model. The record is from RNAcentral. Lineage: Bacteria; Pseudomonadati; Verrucomicrobiota.
UGAGGAAUAUUGGUCAAUGGGCGCGAGCCUGAACCAGCCAAGUCGCGUGAGGGAUGACGGUCCUACGGAUUGUAAACCUCUUUAGGCGGGGAGUAAUGUGCUCUACGCGUAGAGUAGUGAGAGUACCCGCAGAAUAAGCAUCGGCUAACUCCGUGCCAGCAGCCGCGGUAAUACGGAGGAUGCGAGCGUUAUCCGGAUUUAUUGGGUUUAAAGGGUGCGCAGGCUGUGCAUCAAGUCAGCGGUAAAAUCUCGGGGCUCAACCCCGUUUAGCCGUUGAAACUGGUGUGCUGGAGUGUGCGCGAGGAAGGCGGAAUGCGCGGUGUAGCGGUGAAAUGCAUAGAUAUUGCGCAGAACUCCGAUUGCGAAGGCAGCCUUCCAGUGCAUGACUGACGCUGAGGCACGAAAGCGUGGGUAUCGAACAGG